Molecule: non-coding RNA, 54 nt
Organism: Salmo salar (Atlantic salmon)
Lineage: Eukaryota; Metazoa; Chordata; Actinopteri; Salmoniformes; Salmonidae
Source: Rfam
UGCACUCACUACUGUAAGCCGCUCUGGAUAAGAGCAUCUGCUAAAUGACUAAAA